UUAGUGGCGAACGGGUGAGUAACACGUGAGUAACCUGCCCUUGACUUCGGGAUAACUUCGGGAAACCGGAGCUAAUACCGGAUAUGAGAUGUCACCGCAUGGUGGUGUUUGGAAAAGAUUUAUCGGUCAGGGAUGGACUCGCGGCCUAUCAGCUUGUUGGUGGGGUGAUGGCCUACCAAGGCGACGACGGGUAGCCGGCCUGAGAGGGCGACCGGCCACACUGGGACUGAGACACGGCCCAG
RNAcentral lists this ribosomal RNA (242 nucleotides) under uncultured bacterium. RNAcentral describes it as "partial 16S ribosomal RNA". It matches the Rfam family "Bacterial small subunit ribosomal RNA", at positions 92 to 334 of the family's 1533-position model. The record is from RNAcentral.